RNAcentral lists this long non-coding RNA (5941 nucleotides) under Phaseolus vulgaris (common bean). Its description in RNAcentral is "long non-coding RNA (PVUL_LNC000457)". Lineage: Eukaryota; Viridiplantae; Streptophyta; Magnoliopsida; Fabales; Fabaceae. The record is from RNAcentral.
UUUAAUCAUGAAAUUUUCAUUUAUCAAAGUUUAAAUCAUUGAAGUAAGAGAGAGAAUUGAUAUAAUGUGUUUUUCCUUCUCAUACUGAUAUAUGUUAAAGAAACAAUUUAUUCACUUGUGUAUAUAGGUAUAGAUGAAUUCAAUGAUCACACUCUAUCACUUGAAGAAGCCUUAGCAGAUACUUCAAGAAUUGAUUACUUUUAUGAUCACCUCUAUUAUCUUCAAAGUGCAAUCGAGUAAGUACUUUACACCAUGUUCAAAAUGUGCUAAGGGCAGAAAAAAGCUUCCUAAUUAUAUGAUGAUAAUGUAUUACUUUUUUGUUUGAUUUUAUUAGGAAUGGCGUGAAUGUGAAAGGAUAUUUUGCAUGGUCUUUAACUGACAGCUUCGAAUGGAAUUUAGGGUACAUUUCAAGGUUUGGAACAAUCUUUGUAGAUUACCAUAACCUCAAAAGAUAUCCAAAGUUAUCUGCCAUUUGGUUUAGAGAUUUCCUACAAGGCAAAAUAGAUACAUAUGACAAUUAAUUGCUGCUAAACUCUAUCUAUUACUCCAUUUUUUAAAAUGACAGAGUUUCUAUUAGCCCAUAAAACCCAUAUAACUGCCAUCCACACUCCUUGUUGGUAUACCCUUCUUUAUUAUUCCUGGGAAACUUUAUUUCUAUGUCUCCUCAUAUUUAAUCUCCAACUGUUUCGGUAUGGAUGGGGUCUACGUUAAUGAAUUCUCAUCAUGUUCCAUCUUUGUCUCUUUUUUUUUCUGGUUUGAUGUUGCCUUUCUUUAUCAAGUUGGGGACCAAGUUUAUUAAAUAUAACACGUUUUGUAUUAAUUUCUCACUUCAACUUUUCGAAUACGUGCAUAUAAGUUAAAAAUCUAGGAUGUUUUUGUUCUCUGGAAGGUCCUUUUUACUCACCUUUGAGGCUGCAAAAUCAAAAGGGAAUCUACCCACUUGCAUAUCAACCCUUACAGCUGCUCCAAGCCACAUGUCAUGUACCAAAAGGUGUGGUCAUCACUGCUGUAACACUUUAGCAGCAGUGAUUUAUUUACACAAGCUUCAACUUAUGUAGGAAAACAUACUUAGACCUAUCAAACCAGCUUCAACCAGUAACAAGAAGUUCUACUGUAAAAUUUGAUUUACUUCUUAAAUGAAAAGUCUAGGUUUAAAAGCUUCAAUGCCCAUGUUGAAAAAGAAGUUAGUAUAUGUAUUACUUGUUUGAGAACAGAUAGAAGUGAUGUUCACCUCAAACAGUUAGAGUAAGUUGCAAACCAAAGGGCUAUCAAUUGUUUGAUCCAAUAUCCUAGAAAGUCAUGCCUACUGUAUCCAUCUUUUACCUGUGAUCUUAAUAAUGACAAAGAUGUUAAGAAGUGGGCUUUAACGUACUAUGAAAGACUCUAAUCUUUAGUCGAUGUGGGAUCUCCAACACACCCCUCCAACUCGUGCGUGGAAAUAUAUGUUAUGGGUGGUCCGAUAACCAUGACUCUGAUACCAUCUUACGAAGUGGACUUUAAGCCUAACUCAACCUCAUAAAACUGGCUCAAUGAGGUGAGGUUUGUAUCCACUUAUAUACUAUGAAAGACUCUAAUCUCUAGUCGAUGUGAGAUCUCCAACACACCCCUCACGUCGAGGCUACCAACUCGUGCGCGGAGAUAUAUGUUAUGGGUGGUCCGAUUACGGUCCAAUAGCGGAUGACCUGCUAAACCCAACAAAUAUUCGCUAGAAUAGGCUCCAAAUUAAUUUGGUCAAUUAACCUUUCUGAUGGAGUGUAGGAAGCAAAUGUAAUGAUGGAGGAAGCCAAAUGUUGUAGGAAGAAACACCCUAUAUUAUAUUGUACAAUAUUAUAGAAACAGAGAAACUUAUACAUUUUUGCUUUAUCUUUGAUUGUACAGGUCUGAUGCAAAACAAGUAAAACGUGUUAAUUGGAAUAGAAGAACAGAUUGAAGAUAAGGUGAUGUCGACAGCUCUGCAUAGUUAGGUAGUGCCUUUAUGUUUAAAACUAAUAUAUAAAGUAGUAGUUUGAAAAUAGAAAAUUACCCUUUUAUUAUAUUUUAUUUAAAAAUAUGUUAAGAUUUUAGUUGGUUUCCUUUAACUUCUUCCAUUAAAACAAAUCUUUCCUUAUAAUUAUGAUUAUGAUUAUGGUUAUCUUUCCUUUCUUUUAUCUUGAUUUUCAAAUCAGAUUUCUCCAUUAUUUAUUUGCAAAUACAGGUGGUGGAUUUUGUAUAAAAAUAAAAUUUAGUUUUAAUAUAUAUUAUAUUUGCAAUAGACUUCAUUAGUUAAAUUCGUAUAUAUAUUAGUGCACACAUCUGGAAUGAGAGUGAAAAAACUAUGAAGAUUGUAGCUAUGGUAUUGAGUUGGAAUCUUCUCUCUGGUGUUUUGCUGCUUAUGCUAUCAGUACCAAUCUGCAUUGAAGGUUCAGUUUCAAUUUUUUCCACUGAUGAUUUUAGGAGUACAUCUCUCAACAGAAGCAGUUUUCCAAAAGGUUUUAUAUUUGGGGCAGGAUCAUCUUCUUAUCAGGUUCUUCCAAAACAGUGAUACUUUUUUUAUAUUUUGAAACUUUUUUUUAUAAACAUCUACUGAAAUAUUGUAAACUUUAGAGAAAGUUUCACAGGGAGCGUAUUUCUUGUAAAUUUCUGUAAAAAGUAUGUAGGAAAAGUUUCACAAAUCGUCGAAAUUUUGCAAUAAUCUUUAAGUUUGAAAGAGAUUAAUUAAUUGCCAUAUAAACUAGUGUGAAGGUGCAGCAAAUGUUGGUGGCAGAGGACCAAGCAUAUGGGAUACAUUCACUCAUACUCACCCAGGUUUUAUUUUUUUCCUUGCUUAUAGUACAAUCCAUGUUCACUGUAAUUUUUUUUAGUGUGUUCAAUUAUAGCUUGUUGUGUAUGGUAAUUUAUUGAGUUUAUAUUAUUGUAUUAAAAUGUAAUGUAGUUUUGAUAGAGUUUUCUAAUUAUUACUAUGUUCUUGAUCUGCCAGAGAAAUGUCUGUAGUUACAAAUUCUAGCAUAUUUUGUUUGAAACAUGACAGAUAAAAUACUGGACGGAAGUAAUGGAGAUGUUAGCAUUGAUCAAUACCAUCGUUAUAAGGUAUGAUAAUAAGGACCCUUUAAUACUUAAUAUGUGGUGAAGCAAUAAAAUAAAGCAUACUUGAAAUUCUUUUCAUGACUAAUAACACAGGAAGAUGUUGAAAACAUUAAGGAAAUGAACAUGGAUGCUUUCAGAUUUUCAAUCUCUUGGUCCAGAAUACUUCCAAGUAAGAAACAGGAAACUAUAUAUGAGCUUCUCUUUCUUAUAAUUUUGUACAUUAGUACUCCUUAAUCAUAGCAAUAAAAAAUAUGUAUUGUAUAAAUUGAUGGCUAUUAUUUAAAUCUUAGAUUCUUUGGCUAAUUUCAGAAGGAAAGGUUAGCGGAGGUGUGAACAAGGAAGGAAUCAACUAUUACAACAACCUCAUUAAUGAACUGUUAGAUAAAGGUUAAUAUGUAGAUAACUAUAUUUUUUAAAUUUCAUUUUCUCUAAUUUAGUUUUGAAAUUGAAACAAGUAACUCAAUUUACUGACAUCCAUAAUGCAGGUCUUAAACCCUUUGCGACCCUUUUUCAUUGGGACCUUCCUCAAGCCUUAGAAGACGAAUAUGAUGGUUUUUUAAGUCCUAAUAUAGUGUAACUCACAUUUCUUAUAUCUAAUAAUCAAAAUAUAUUAUUUGUGAGAACAUUCUCUAACUAAUAUCUACUUUUUUAUCAUUAUCUAGGGAUGAUUUUAAAGAUUAUGCAGAACUUUGUUUUAAAGAAUUUGGAGACAGGGUAAAACAUUGGACUACAUUAAAUGAACCAUGGACCUUUAGUACAUAUGGGUAUGCUGAGGCUGCUUUCCCACCUGGAAGAUGUUCAACCUGGCAAAACUUAUCUUGUACUGCUGGUGAUUCAGCCACUGAACCCUACAUAGUGACUCACAAUCAAUUACUUGCUCAUGCAGCUGCUGUCAAUGUCUAUAAGACAAAAUAUCAGGUAAGGUUUAAUUACAUAUUUUGUAUUUUGAAAUGCGAUCAGAAUAAGUGUAUUGAUUUCCUUAUUCAAUAAAAGAGUCAUAAUAAACAAGUCCUAAACUAAAAUUUUGCUUCAUGUAUGUAGGUGUCUCAAAAGGGUGUGAUAGGGAUAUCGCUGGCAUGUCAUUGGAUAGUACCACUCUAUGAUACAGAGUUGGAUCAGUUUGCUGCAGAAAGAGCCCUUGAUUUUUUAAUCGGAUGGUAACUACUUUAUGAACCUAAAUUCUAUGUGGAGCUCAACUAUAGUAUGAUAGUGAUUCUAAAUUAUUUUGUCAUUUUAAUUCAAUAUAUUGUAGGAGAAAGAUUGAAAUAUUGUCACACAAUGAGGCCUCAUGAUAUAUUAUGUUUUCCUCAUAACAAUUUAACUCUGGAAUGUAAUAGAAUGUGUGUGUACUUUGAGAAAAUUACUUUCAUUUUAUGAUUAGUCAGAGACAUAAAUAGUUUAAUUAAAGGGACAAAAGCUUGAUAUAGUGGUCAGAUAAGAACACUAAACUUAUGAAGAACACCAAAAGAGUAGUCCAAUCCAUUACAGGUUAUUCAGAUGAAAAAUCCUACAAUUAAUACUGAUUAUCUACUCAACUAUAAUGCUAGGAUUAAACUAAUAAUAUGUAUAACUAAUUUAUUCAAAUACUGUAUUGUAGGUUUAUGGAGCCAAUGACAAUUGGAGAAUACCCUAAAUCCAUGCAAUCUCUGGUAGGGAGUCGAUUACCAAAGUUUUCUGCUGAUGAGAUCAAACUUGUAAGAGGGUCCUUUGAUUUUAUUGGAAUAAACUACUAUACUUCUUAUUAUGCUUCUGAUACACCUGAGUUAAGUGAAGCAAGGCCUAGCGCCCUCACAGAUUCUCUUGUUAUUCUUACAAGUAAGUGCUCCUUAAUAUCUAUCUCAUUAUUGACUAUAUAUAGACUUUAACGUAUGAAAGAAGAUAAAUGACCGAAUUUGUACGAAACUCAUACAAUUUUUACCUCUGUAAUGGGUCGUCAUUUAAAAUAUUACGAGGUUGGAAAAUUCAUGCCAACAUGACAUGACUUUAUUAUGAAGAAAUCGUAGGAAAAAUACUAUGACUUUUGUUAUGUCAAUGUGAUGUCAUGUCAAGGUGACACGACUUCAAUUCAAAAUGAUUACAUAAAAGUCGUGUCACCUUAUACAAUUUCAAAUUUUCUUCACAAUAAAAUCAUACCAUAUUUGCACGACUUCUCCAACCUUGUAGUAUUUUAAAAAACAACCCCAUUUUAGUAAUAAGGGGCAAUGAUUGCCUCAGUUUCUUACAAAAACCGAUAAAUGACAUUAUAACUAUAUGAUACCAUUCAAACUAUCAUUGUUAUUCUAAUCCAUCAUUUAAUUUAGUUAUAUAUAUGUUUGAGGUCAAACACAAAUUGCAGCUGAUGUAUCAAAAUCAAGUAUUUAUAUUGUUAAUUUAUGUUAUUAGUAGAGAAUGAUGUAGAAUAUUAACAGGUGAGCGUAAUGGAAUACCUAUUGGUAAAGUGGUAAGUUUGUGAUUACAUUUUAUUGAAACUGCAACUACAUAUCAGUGCUUCAUUUCAAUUAGUUUUUCAAUAAAGAAAAGGAAAGUUGUAUUCUGCAGAGUACUUCAAAAUGGUUCUAUGUUUGUCCAAAAGGAAUUCAUGAUCUGUUGCUGUAUAUGAAAACAAAGUACAACAACCCUUUGCUCUACAUCACUGAAAAUGGUAAUGUAGCUGUUGAGUUUAAUCAUGAAAUUUUCAUUUAUGAAUGUUUAAAUCAUUGAAGUAAGAGAGAGAAUUGAUAUAAUGUGUUUUUCCUUCUCAUACUGAAACAAUUUAUUCACUUGUGUAUAUAGGUAUAGAUGAAAUCAUUGAUGAAACUCUAUCACUUGAAGAAGCCUUAGCAGAUACUUCAAGAGUUGAUUACUUUCAUGAUCAUCUCUAUUAUCUUCAAAUUGCAAU